This 73-nucleotide transfer RNA is filed under the name Phytophthora infestans T30-4. It matches the Rfam family "tRNA". From Rfam's summary of the family: Transfer RNA (tRNA) molecules are approximately 80 nucleotides in length. Their secondary structure includes four short double-helical elements and three loops (D, anti-codon, and T loops). Lineage: Eukaryota; Oomycota; Peronosporomycetes; Peronosporales; Peronosporaceae. The record is from Rfam by way of RNAcentral.
GCUCUUAUGGUGUAAUGGUUAGCACCCUGGACUUUGAAUCCAGCAAUCCGGGUUCAAAUCUCCGGUAGGAGCU